GCCGGCCGGCGGUUCCUCCUCCCCGAGUGCACAAAACCCCUCGGCCACUUCUAUUUCUUCCUCCCAAGCCGCACACCCGAAGCCUUCUCCUCUUCUCCUCUUCUCUGCCGCCGACCUUCCUCCGCGCUACUGCCGAACCCCGAUCUCCUCUGUGCCCUAGCAUCUCCGCCGACGCCAGCCACUCGAGUAGCGCUGGCCACCCCCGAUUCCGGCAACCGAGUACACUGUUGGGGUUCUUCCGUGCUGUAGCACUACCUCCGACCAUAUCUUUUCUCUGGUUUCUGGCGAUCAAGAAGGGUUUCAGUGAGUGAGGAGGUUUGCCAGCAUCUACUUCUUCCGGCAGCAAUCCACUUUGACUGUGGGUUGAGCGGUAUCACAGUGUAUACCUCCGACCUUGAUCAACUGAGGAAUCCCUAUUUCUUGGUGAGUUUUUGUGUUCAUUUUGAUGGUUGAAUAAUUAGGGAUAUUGACUUCAAUGUAGGAGCCAUUGCUGUGAGUGAGUUGAUCAUUUUGUCGAUGAUUGACAGAUAGGUUAAUAACCAAUGUUAACCUAGGUAUAUGUGUUGAAUUAAGGAAUGGAUAUGGGUAUUAAAUAGUUUUGGAGAUUUUUAUUUAGCUAUAUAGCUAAAUACAUUGUCUGUUUGAUAUCACAGGAUUGUGACUCGAGACGGUGUCUCGACGAGGGAUCUGUUUCGGAUACGAUCUUUUCUAUUU
Molecule: long non-coding RNA, 714 nt
Organism: Zingiber officinale
Lineage: Eukaryota; Viridiplantae; Streptophyta; Magnoliopsida; Zingiberales; Zingiberaceae
Exons: 3
Source: RefSeq, a predicted model, not a curated record